GACGAACGCUGGCGGCGUGCUUAACACAUGCAAGUCGAACGAAGAGCGACGGAAGCUUGCUUCUAUCAAUCUUAGUGGCGAACGGGUGAGUAACGCGUAAUCAACCUGCCCUUCAGAGGGGGACAACAGUUGGAAACGACUGCUAAUACCGCAUACGAUCUAAUCUCGGCAUCGAGGAUGGAUGAAAGGUGGCCUCUACAUGUAAGCUAUCACUGAAGGAGGGGAUUGCGUCUGAUUAGCUAGUUGGAGGGGUAACGGCCCACCAAGGCGAUGAUCAGUAGCCGGUCUGAGAGGAUGAACGGCCACAUUGGGACUGAGACACGGCCCAGACUCCUACGGGAGGCAGCAGUGGGGAAUCUUCCGCAAUGGACGAAAGUCUGACGGAGCAACGCCACGUGAGUGAUGACGGCCUUCGGGUUGUAAAGCUCUGUUAAUCGGGACGAAAGGCCUUCUUGCGAAUAGUGAGAAGGAUUGACGGUACCGGAAUAGAAAGCCACGGCUAACUACGUG
This 510-nucleotide ribosomal RNA is filed under the name uncultured bacterium. RNAcentral describes it as "partial 16S ribosomal RNA". It matches the Rfam family "Bacterial small subunit ribosomal RNA", at positions 28 to 507 of the family's 1533-position model. The record is from RNAcentral.